This 459-nucleotide ribosomal RNA is filed under the name uncultured organism. Its description in RNAcentral is "bacterial SSU rRNA". It matches the Rfam family "Bacterial small subunit ribosomal RNA", at positions 346 to 794 of the family's 1533-position model. The record is from RNAcentral.
GUGCAGCAGGCGCGAAUUUUUGACAAUGGGGGAAACCCUGAUCGAGCGACGCCGCGUGGAGGAUGAAGGUCUUCGGAUUGUAAACUCCUGUCAUUGGGGAACAAGGGUGCAUACGUUAACUGCGUGUGUAUUGAUAGUACCCGAAGAGGAAGGGACGGCUAACUCUGUGCCAGCAGCCGCGGUAAUACAGAGGGUCCCAAGCGUUGUUCGGAUUCAUUGGGCGUAAAGGGUGCGUAGGCGGCGCGGUAAGUCGGGUGUGAAAUCUCGGAGCUUAACUCCGAAACUGCAUUCGAUACUGCCGUGCUUGAGGACUGGAGAGGAGACUGGAAUUUACGGUGUAGCGGUGAAAUGCGUAGAUAUCGUAAGGAAGACCAGUGGCGAAGGGCGGGUACUCUGGACAGUUCCUGACGCUGAGGCACGAAGGCCAGGGGAGCAAACGGGAUUAGAUACCCCGGUAGU